This 453-nucleotide ribosomal RNA is filed under the name uncultured Methylobacterium sp. RNAcentral's name for it is "bacterial SSU rRNA". It matches the Rfam family "Bacterial small subunit ribosomal RNA", at positions 8 to 507 of the family's 1533-position model. The record is from RNAcentral. Lineage: Bacteria; Pseudomonadati; Pseudomonadota; Alphaproteobacteria; Hyphomicrobiales; Methylobacteriaceae.
AGAGUUUGAUCCUGGCUCAGAGCGAACGCUGGCGGCAGGCUUAACACAUGCAAGUCGAGCGGGCACUUCGGUGUCAGCGGCGGACGGGUGAGUAACGCGUGGGAACGUGCCCUCUGGUUCGGAAUAACUCAGGGAAACUUGAGCUAAUACCGGAUACGCCCUUUUGGGGAAAGGCUUGCUGCCGGAGGAUCGGCCCGCGUCUGAUUAGCUAGUUGGUGAGGUAACGGCUCACCAAGGCGACGAUCAGUAGCUGGUCUGAGAGGAUGAUCAGCCACACUGGGACUGAGACACGGCCCAGACUCCUACGGGAGGCAGCAGUGGGGAAUAUUGGACAAUGGGCGCAAGCCUGAUCCAGCCAUGCCGCGCGAGUGAUGAAGGCCUUAGGGUUGUAAAGCUCUUUUAUCCGGGACGAUAAUGACGGUACCGGAGGAAUAAGCCCCGGCUAACUUCGUG